UCUAAAACGGUUUCGUAUUCAGAGGUAGCACGUAAAUAUUGACCAUCAUAAUAUAACAUUUCAGCCAAUGCAAAAUGGAUUAUUGGAUCAUUUGGCUCUAGUUCAAGUGCUUCUUGUAAUUUAUCAAUAGCAACUUCCAUCAUAUUAAUUUGUUGAUAUAAAUCUGCUUCUAACAUCAACUUUUCAGGUGAUGGUUCAACAUAACU
This 206-nucleotide small RNA is filed under the name Staphylococcus aureus. Its description in RNAcentral is "5'UTR". The record is from RNAcentral. Lineage: Bacteria; Bacillati; Bacillota; Bacilli; Caryophanales; Staphylococcaceae.